This 385-nucleotide ribosomal RNA is filed under the name uncultured bacterium. RNAcentral describes it as "bacterial SSU rRNA". It matches the Rfam family "Bacterial small subunit ribosomal RNA", at positions 29 to 418 of the family's 1533-position model. The record is from RNAcentral.
AUUAAACGCUGGCGGCAUGCCUUACACAUGCAAGUCGAACGGUAGCGCGGGGCAACCUGGCGACAAGUGGCGAACGGGUGAGUAAAGCAUCGGAACGUGCCCUGGAAUGGGGGAUAACGUAGCGAAAGUUACGCUAAUACCGCAUAUUCUGUGAGCAGGAAAGCAGGGGAUCGCAAGACCUUGCGUUCUGGGAGCGGCCGAUGUCGGAUUAGCUAGUUGGUGGGGUAAAAGCCUACCAAGGCGACGAUCCGUAGCGGGUCUGAGAGGAUGAUCCGCCACACUGGGACUGAGACACGGCCCAGACUCCUACGGGAGGCAGCAUGGGGAAUUUUGGACAAUGGGCGGAAGCCUGAUCCAGCCAUGCCGCGUGAGUGAAGAAGGCCUC